GUGCCAGCAGGUGCGGUAAUACGGAGGGUGCAAGCGUUAAUCGGAAUUACUGGGCGUAAAGCGCACGCAGGCGGUCUGUCAAGUCGGAUGUGAAAUCCCCGGGCUCAACCUGGGAACUGCAUUCGAAACUGGCAGGCUAGAGUCUUGUAGAGGGGGUAGAAUUCCAGGUGUAGCGGGUGAAAUGCGUAGAGAUCUGGAGG
This 200-nucleotide ribosomal RNA is filed under the name uncultured Enterobacter sp. RNAcentral's name for it is "partial 16S ribosomal RNA". It matches the Rfam family "Bacterial small subunit ribosomal RNA", at positions 505 to 704 of the family's 1533-position model. The record is from RNAcentral. Lineage: Bacteria; Pseudomonadati; Pseudomonadota; Gammaproteobacteria; Enterobacterales; Enterobacteriaceae.